GACGUAGGUGGCAAGCGUUGUCCGGAGUUAUUGGGCGUAAAGCGCGCGCAGGCGGCUCGGUAAGUCCAUGGUGAAAGCGCCCGGCUCAACUGGGCGAGUGCCGUGGGGACUGCCGAGCUGGAGGGGAGCAGAGGCGAGUGGAAUUCCGGGUGUAGUGGUGAAAUGCGUAGAGAUCCGGAGGAACACCAGUGGCGAAGGCGGCUCGCUGGGCUCUACCUGACGCUGAGGCGCGAAAGCGUGGGGAGCGAACAGG
RNAcentral lists this ribosomal RNA (253 nucleotides) under uncultured bacterium. Its description in RNAcentral is "partial 16S ribosomal RNA". It matches the Rfam family "Bacterial small subunit ribosomal RNA", at positions 524 to 776 of the family's 1533-position model. The record is from RNAcentral.